GACGAACGCUGGCGGCGUGCCUAACACAUGCAAGUUGAGCGACGAACCAGGGCUUGCCCUGGGGCAAAGCAGCGAACGGGUGAGUAACACGUGGGUAACCUACCCCGAUAACCGGGACAACCCGAGGAAACUCGGGCUCAUACCGGAUGUGCUCACUGAACUUCGGUUCAGUCCGUAAAUGAAGCUUCGGCCUCCGUAUCGGGAGGGGCCCGCGGCCCAUUAGCUCGUUGGUGAGGUAAGGGCUCCCCAAGGCCGCGAUGGGUAGCUGGUCUGAUGGGAAAAUUAGCCACAUUGGGAAUGAAACACGGCCAAGACUCAGACGAGAGGCAACAGGGGGGAAGCUGGCGCAAGGCGGGAAAGCGUGACGCAGCAACGCCGCGUGGGGGAAGAAGGCCUUCGUGUUGUAAACCCCUUUCAGGAGGGACGAAGGUUCGGCGGUGAAUAGCCGUCCGGACUGACGGUACCUCCACAAGAAGCCCCGGCUAACUACGUGCCAGCAGCCGCGGUAA
RNAcentral lists this ribosomal RNA (509 nucleotides) under uncultured bacterium. RNAcentral's name for it is "partial 16S ribosomal RNA". It matches the Rfam family "Bacterial small subunit ribosomal RNA", at positions 28 to 523 of the family's 1533-position model. The record is from RNAcentral.